This 74-nucleotide transfer RNA is filed under the name Chloroflexota bacterium. RNAcentral's name for it is "Chloroflexi bacterium (wastewater metagenome) tRNA-Arg". It matches the Rfam family "tRNA". From Rfam's summary of the family: Transfer RNA (tRNA) molecules are approximately 80 nucleotides in length. Their secondary structure includes four short double-helical elements and three loops (D, anti-codon, and T loops). The record is from RNAcentral. RNAcentral also lists the same sequence under 1 other name. Lineage: Bacteria; Bacillati; Chloroflexota.
GCCCUCGUAGCUCAAUAGGACAGAGCAGCGCACUCCUAACGCGCAGGUUGAUGGUUCAAGUCCGUCCGGGGGUA